RNAcentral lists this long non-coding RNA (212 nucleotides) under Lathyrus oleraceus (garden pea). RNAcentral describes it as "Pisum sativum (pea) long non-coding RNA (PSAT_LNC033468)". Lineage: Eukaryota; Viridiplantae; Streptophyta; Magnoliopsida; Fabales; Fabaceae. The record is from RNAcentral.
GUUUGUUUUGUGUUUUUUAGAUGAACGACGUUACUACGUGUAACACCCCAAAAUUUGCCCUCCUCAUUCAUGCAUUCAUUUAGCAUUUCAUAUUGCAUUUCAUCAUGUCAAUCAGAAUUAGAUCCAAGAAACUUUAUUUAAAAAAAAUAAAAAAUAAUAAUAAUAAUAAAUAAAAAAAUAAAAAUAAUAAUAAAAAAAUAAAUAAACGAAAA